This 402-nucleotide transfer-messenger RNA is filed under the name Marinifilaceae. Its description in RNAcentral is "Marinifilum sp009295825 Standard tmRNA". It matches the Rfam family "transfer-messenger RNA". From Rfam's summary of the family: Bacterial tmRNA, also known as 10Sa RNA or SsrA, is named for its dual tRNA and mRNA-like properties. Its role is to liberate the mRNA from a stalled ribosome. Lineage: Bacteria; Pseudomonadati; Bacteroidota; Bacteroidia; Marinilabiliales. RNAcentral also lists the same sequence under 1 other name. The record is from RNAcentral.
GGGGCUGACGUGGUUUUGACAGCAUGUAGAAUUGAUAUGUAAGCAUGUCGAGCGUUGUGAUUCCAGCUCGUAAAUAUCGGAUCUCACACUUUUUAAUUGGCGAAAAUAACUACGCUCUUGCUGCUUAAUCGAAUCAUAGUAGAUUAAAGCUUCAUCAUCACUCUAGGAGUGGAGACGAGACAUCCAGCUUAUGGUUCCACCUUGUUCCGGUAAGUAAUUGGAUGCUAUCAAUUCGAGGUUAGUUGAUAAUUUACUUCGGGUUAUCGGCGAAAUUUAGAAGAUAAGCUAAGACUUCGGGUGUGAUUUCCCUAACCUUGGUCGAAAAUUAAUAAAUCACUAAGCGUGUAGAAAGCCUAUUGGUCGCAUGUUUGGACCAGGGUUCGAUUCCCUGCAGCUCCACAU